Molecule: ribosomal RNA, 641 nt
Filed under: Naganishia adeliensis
Lineage: Eukaryota; Fungi; Basidiomycota; Tremellomycetes; Filobasidiales; Filobasidiaceae
Description: eukaryotic LSU rRNA
Rfam family: Eukaryotic large subunit ribosomal RNA
Source: RNAcentral
GCAUAUCAAUAAGCGGAGGAAAAGAAACUGACAAGGAUUCCCCUAGUAACGGCGAGUGAAGCGGGAAGAGCUCAAAUUUGAAAUCUGGUAGCCUUCGGUUGCCCGAGUUGUAAUCUAGAGAAGUGUUUUCCGUGCCGGCCCAUGUACAAGUCCCUUGGAACAGGGCGUCAUAGAGGGUGAGAAUCCCGUCCUUGACAUGGACCCCCGGUGCUUUGUGAUACACUUUCAACGAGUCGAGUUGUUUGGGAAUGCAGCUCAAAAUGGGUGGUGAAUUCCAUCUAAAGCUAAAUAUUGGCGAGAGACCGAUAGCGAACAAGUACCGUGAGGGAAAGAUGAAAAGCACUUUGGAAAGAGAGUUAAACAGUACGUGAAAUUGUUGAAAGGGAAACGAUUGAAGUCAGUCAUGCUCUUAGGAUUCAGCCGUUCUGCGGUGUAUUUCCUUUGAGUGGGGUCAACAUCAGUUUUGAUCGAUGGAUAAAGGCACGAGGAAGGUAGCACUCUCGGGUGAACUUAUAGCCUCGCGUCAUAUACAUUGAUUGGGACUGAGGAACGCAGCAUGCCUUUAUGGCCGGGAUUCGUCCACGUACAUGCUUAGGAUGUUGACAUAAUGGCUUUAAACGACCCGUCUUGAAACACGGACC